This 442-nucleotide ribosomal RNA is filed under the name uncultured bacterium. Its description in RNAcentral is "partial 16S ribosomal RNA". It matches the Rfam family "Bacterial small subunit ribosomal RNA", at positions 338 to 795 of the family's 1533-position model. The record is from RNAcentral.
CCUACGGGAGGCAGCAGUGGGGGAUAUUGCACAAUGGGGGAAACCCUGAUGCAGCGACGCCGCGUGGGCGAAGAAGUAUUUCGGUAUGUAAAGCCCUAUCAGCAGGGAAGAAGAAAUGACGGUACCUGAGUAAGAAGCACCGGCUAAAUACGUGCCAGCAGCCGCGGUAAUACGUAUGGUGCAAGCGUUAUCCGGAUUUACUGGGGGUAAAGGGAGCGCAGGCGGUAAGGCAAGGCUGAUGGAAAAGCCCGCGGCCCAACCGGGGGACUGCAUUGGGAACUACCGGGCUGGAGUGCCGGAGAGGGAGGUGGAAUUCCUAGUGUAGGGGUGAAAUCCGUAGAUAUUAGGAGGAACAACAGGGGCGAAGGCGGCCUACUGGACGGUGACUGACGCUGAGGCUCGAAAGCGUGGGGAGCAAACAGGAUUAGAUACCCGGGUAGUC